Molecule: ribosomal RNA, 510 nt
Filed under: uncultured bacterium
Lineage: Bacteria
Description: bacterial SSU rRNA
Rfam family: Bacterial small subunit ribosomal RNA
Source: RNAcentral
CUGGCUCAGGAUGAACGCUAGCUACAGGCUUAACACAUGCAAGUCGAGGGGCAGCAUUGGGAUAGCUUGCUAUUCAGAUGGCGACCGGCGCACGGGUGAGUAACGCGUAUCCAACCUUCCUGCCAGUAGGGAACAGCCCGGCGAAAGUCGGAUUAAUGCCCUAUGUUCUUCAAUGCGGACAUCUAAGUUGAAGGAAAGAUUCAUCGCUGGCAGAUGGGGAUGCGUCCGAUUAGCUUGCCGGCGGGGUAACGGCCCACCGGGGCGACGAUCGGUAGGGGUUCUGAGAGGAAGGUCCCCCACACUGGUACUGAGACACGGACCAGACUCCUACGGGAGGCAGCAGUGAGGAAUAUUGGUCAAUGGGCGUAAGCCUGAACCAGCCAAGUAGCGUGCAAGGAUGACGGCCCUACGGGUUGUAAACUGCUUUUAUGCGGGGAUAAAGUGCGGCACGUGUGCCGCUUUGCAGGUACCGCAUGAAUAAGGACCGGCUAAUUCCGUGCCAGCAGCGGC